RNAcentral lists this transfer RNA (85 nucleotides) under Candidatus Merdousia gallistercoris. RNAcentral describes it as "tRNA-Leu". It matches the Rfam family "tRNA". From Rfam's summary of the family: Transfer RNA (tRNA) molecules are approximately 80 nucleotides in length. Their secondary structure includes four short double-helical elements and three loops (D, anti-codon, and T loops). Further hydrogen bonds mediate the characteristic L-shaped molecular structure. tRNAs have two regions of fundamental functional importance: the anti-codon, which is responsible for specific mRNA codon recognition, and the 3' end, to which the tRNAs corresponding amino acid is attached (by aminoacyl-tRNA synthetases). tRNAs cope with the degeneracy of the genetic code in two manners: having more than one tRNA (with a specific anti-codon) for a particular amino acid; and 'wobble' base-pairing, i.e. permitting non-standard base-pairing at the 3rd anti-codon position. Lineage: Bacteria; Pseudomonadati; Verrucomicrobiota; Opitutia; Opitutales; Intestinicryptomonadaceae. The record is from RNAcentral.
GCUCAAGUGGUGAAAUUGGUAGACACGUACGAUUCAGGUUCGUAUGCUUCACGGCAUGAGGGUUCGAGUCCCUCCUUGAGCACCA